UUUUUGCUUUUUAAGCUCUUGGCGGCAUUGUUAAGUUUCUUUUGUAGUUGCUUUCGUAGAUUUCGUUGCUUUAAUAUUUUUUUUUUUUGCCUUUUUAAUGAAUAUUUUUCUGCGAAAAACUAAAUACAUAUAAAAUGAUAGUUCGAAUUAUGGAUCAUGUAAGGUUAAAGUAAUUUUUAUUAAUUUGUGAUAUUAACAAUUGUUUUUAAAUGUUUGAUCAUUAAAAAUUUAAAAAAUUUUAAAUAUUUGCAAUGAUAGAUUGCAAGAAGUGAUUUUGUAUAUCUGUAAAACAAUUAAUUUUACGUAUUUGAUCCGGAAUUAGGACUUUUCUUUUAAUGAGAUAGAAGGAAAUCUUUUAAAAGGACUACAUUACAGGCUCUUACCUCAAGGGAGUGUGAGACCUACCUGCUAAAACCUUUUCCCUUCUUACCAUAUCACACAUUUUUGAAAAGAAUUUUCCUACAUAAUUUUCUCACAGAACUACUUAUUCUUUAUUUUUAAUUAAUAGUUUAAUAGGAGGAAUUUUUGUUUAAAAGGUUGAUUAUAAAAAAUUAUAAUCAACCGUUAUAAAAAAUAGUCCCAUAAGCACUGAUUAAUUGUGUUGCAACUCUGUUUUGCAUCUUAGUAAAUGGGAUUAAUUUUCUUAUCUAUAAUACCAUUAAUACAAUUUGAUGCUCCGUAUAAAAUAAUGGAAUGCACUACAUUAACAUAGAAUUGUCUUUUUGCUUCAAUCGAAUCUUUAACAUUUAGCCUACAGUUUCGUAAUCAUUCCAACUCGAGUUACUGUCAACUUACAAAUAGCUGCCCUUGAAUUUGAAUUUACAAUUUUUGUAUCAGAACUUUCAAAGAUCUUUCAAUAAUUCUGAAUAAAUGACGUGUAAAAACGCAAAAGCCGGACAAAUGUGCUUCUUAAUUAAGAUCCGUGACUUACUCGCGUUAAUUUAAUUUAUUUUUUAUGGAUUUACAUAACUUGACCAAUUUUUUUAAAUUUUAAUAUUUAAUUUAAAUUUUUUUGAGAUUUAAAACUUUAAGAAAAUGCACAAUAUUUUAAAUUAAUUUUUUUUAUUUCCAGAAUGCGCUGAUCCUUUAAUUCAUGGCCUGUGGAUCAACGUUGCUGGCAUAUAUUUUUGCUUUGCAAUUCCGAAUAAUUCUCUACUGAAUCGCAUUAUCGACAAGGUAGAGACAAUCAGGGAGUAAAGAAGUUUUCCUCUUUCUUGAAGAAAGCAAGAUAAAAAUGGAUAACCAAAAUACGACUGCAGUAAAUAACUUAUCCGAGGACAUGAUGUCAAAUCUAAUGGUACAAAUAGUGUUUUAUGUGAUCUACAGUAUUAUCUUCGUACUUGGAAUAUUAGGUAAUGUGUUCGUGAUCUUCGUUGUCGGGCGAAAUCGUCGAAUGCACACAGUUACCAAUCUUUUUAUCGCGAAUCUUGCGCUCAGUGAUAUGUUGCUGUGCUUUUUGGCUGUGCCUUUUACUCCUUUGUACACUUUCCUAGGCGGUUGGAUUUUCGGUAAAACUCUCUGCCAUUUGGUACCCUACGCUCAGGCCGUGAGUGUGUAUAUCAGCACGCUUACAUUAACCAGCAUAGCAGUUGAUCGGUUUCUGGUGAUCAUCUAUCCGUUCCAUGCACGAAUGAGAAUCAAGACAUGCCUGGUGAUUAUCAUGGGUAUCUGGUUGAUCGCAUCAUUGAUUACCCUGCCAUUUGGCCUUUAUAUGCACAUGGUGCAGGAUAGAAAGCACACCUUCUGGUGCGCGGAGAAUUGGCCUAGUGAGUCAUUUCGCAAGAUCUUCAGUUUGUUGACUUCGAUACUACAAUUCAUCGUGCCAUUCUUCGUGAUUGCUUUCUGCUACAUAUGUGUGUCGAUCAAGUUGAACGAUCGGGCGCGCGCUAAACCCGGUAGCAAGUCCAACAGGCGCGAGGAAGAGGAUCGCGAGAGGAAACGCCGAACAAACCGGAUGCUGAUCGCGAUGGUUUCUAUAUUUGGUGCAUGCUGGUUGCCGCUCAACAUUGCCCUCAUUAUUGCUGACUUCUAUACGGAUGUUUACUACGUUUGGCCCUACUUUCGGUUCUACUUCUUCAUAUCGCACUGCAUCGCAAUGAGCAGCACCUGCUACAAUCCAUUCCUCUAUGCUUGGCUCAACGACAAUUUCCGGAAGGAAUUUAAACAGGACAGAUCUGCGCUUGCUCAUGAAGCGUUCGUUAAGAGCAGGCGCGCAAUAUGUUGGGACCAGAUAUACCAGAUUCAAGUCAUUAUCACAAGACAGGUCCUUCCAUGUUAUGCAAGAAAUGUCAAUGGUAAUAUUCCAAAGACGAUGGAAGCUCGCAGAAGUGACAAGAUAGAUAACGGCAAUAAUACCAUGCAAGAGACUUUACUGGGCAGUAAUACGCAGAAAGCGCAGAAUCCCGACGGAUGCGAGACGAUUAUACUAGAGAAACUGACAAACGCCAGGAAGCUAAAUCAGGCCUCGUGCUCGCAGAAUUUAGAUGACGUUUUGUAAGGAAAAGCGCAAAAGUUCUUCCGUGCAAAAAAUGGCAUUCCAAAGACCAAGGAGGUUCGCAGAGGCGACAAGAUACAUGACAGUAAUAUCGUGCAAGAGAUUUUACUAGGCAGAAAGCGCAGACUCCCAGAGGAGGUGAGAUUACUGAAAGAGAUGACAAACACCAGGAAGCAACUAAAUUAGCCCUCGGGUUCGAAGGAUUUCAACAUUCUCUAAGGGAAAGCGCAAAAGUUCUUUUUGAGCGUAUGGAGAAAAAUGAUCCGGAUUAUAAUGUGCUGAAGAAUUCUAUUUGCCACAUUAUAAAAGUAUUGACGUAUACAAAAGAUAUCAAAUGGAUAACCGAAGACCAGUCAAUAAUAUUCAAUAUUUUUUAUAAAAUUAAUAAUUGUCCGCUACAAAUAAUUUCUUUGCAUAGAUUGUUUAUCAAUCAAUGUGACGUAACGAUAAUUAGUGGUGAUCUUUGUAAACAAGGAGACCGUUUAUCGUUAUUCCUAUUUAAUGACACUCUUGAAAUAUGCAAGAGAAGAUCGAAAACUGGGUCGUUAAAUAGUCUUAAAAAUAUAAUUGGUUUAAAAAAAAAUAAGCUGUGCCAAGAAAAGCCGUAUAAGCAUGUUGAAAUGUUAUCGCUAAGUACUAUAAACAAAGUCGUGGAUGUAACUGAUCAAUGUCAUAAUGUAUUUGGGCUCAUUGUACGAAGUUCUCAGGACCUAACAGAAAAAUAUUUUUGGUUCAUAAUUACUGACAAAAAUAUAAAUAAAAGAAAUUAUUUAUAUAUUUUAUGUAGGCAGCUGUCUCUCACUACCCGUAUAGCUGAUACUGAUGCAUUCCUCAUUACACGUGAUUCGAAUCAUCUUAAAGCUAGUAUUGAUGCUGUGGCAUCAAAACAUUAAAAGUACAGUUACAACAAAUGGACGUGUAAGAGAAAUCUUACAAGAAAAAUAAUUUAGCUUACAAAAUAAGCUUAAUGAUUUAAAAGAUAAAAAAAAGCAAACAUUGGAAAACAUUGAUAAAAAAUAAAUAGAUAUGAUAAACGAAUAAAAAAAAUCUCAGAAUGUUAUCGAUGCUUUUCUCUUGCUUUUUGGAAGAAAAAAGACUGUUGCCAUAGAGCGGGCAUUCUGAAAGUGGAAGUUCAGAAAGAAAAAGACAUCAUGGUACUGUACCAUUCUCUCUUGUUUUGCUUAUGCGUACAAGUAAAAGGAGUACCAAAGACACACGAGAAACGUUAAACGAUGAACCAUGGAACGAAGGGAAAGUACAACUGGGAAACGCAUGUACGGCACAUCUAUUGCGUAGAGCUCCGGAAAUGCGAUAGAACGAUGUUGUUUCCUUUAUUGCGAUAAAAAGAUGAACGGAUAAAAGACGAGCAGAAAAGAAGCUGUAAGAACAUUUUUUAAUGAGAAAAAGUAGUUUAUAUAGAAAAAGAAUAGUUCAUAUAACGACGAAGAAAUGACAGCUCUAUAGAAUCACAUUCUUUCAUAUGUACACAUAUGUAUACAUAUGUCCAUUAUACUAACGCUAAAAAUUUUUACGACUUAUGUAUAUUAUUAAUCUUAUUAUAAUAAUUACAUUAAUUUAUAACAUUUUGUACAAGAUAUGAAGACUGUUUCUAGUGUAAUUUUUGACGCUGAGUCCGAAUCUAUCAUCGACAUAUUUUCAUCAUUCUAAUUUUUGAGGUAUAAGAAAAUUUUUUCUAAUAUAAAGUUUUAUAAAAAUAAACAAAGUAAAUCAAGCUUUUAUCUGUAUUUUUUAUAUGAAGAAAAUAAUGUAAGAAAGCAAAUUUCAGUGAUUCUCUAAUUAUGCAGUUUUUCUUUUCAAUAAUAUAUUGCUUACAAAAGUAAAAGAAAUAAAUUAAACUUAAACAAAUUUUACUGCCUUUUUUCUAUAUAUAAAUUAAAACAACCAUUUUGAUAUUACUUUGUAAACAUUACAAUUUUGUUUAUAUUAACUAGUGUUAUAUUAUUUUGGUAUAACAAACAGAUACCUUGUAAUCACUGUCAGUCAAACGGUACUACCUACAUACUUUAUAUUAUAAUAUUUUAAAAAUUUGAUUUGAUGAAUUUUUUAAUGAUUCGAACUCAGUGCUCUAAAAACAUUUAAAAAAUCUAUGUAUAAAAUAUUUUGAGCUUGAUAAACUCGAUGAGUUUUAUUUGAAGAUCUAAGGACAUUCAAUAGAGUGUAGACUUAUCCAAUAAACAAAUUGUUAGCAAGUUGUCGCCAUUGACAUUAAAUUCGCUCAAAGAUUGGUGACAGAUUUACUGUUAUCUUUGUCAGCUCCCCUAGUAACACAAUAUUGACAAAUUCAUUGGCGUUAUAUUAGCUCAAUAUAUCGCCAAUGUAAAUACAUUGGCGUAAUAUUGGACCAAUAUUGCGGCAAUAAAUUGUGCUACUGGGGUUGUCGUGAUUUGCUGACAAAGCUUACGCACAUAACCAGAUAGCAAAUUGACAAUUAAACAAGCUUUAUGUACCAUUAUCUAAGGAGAUAAAAAUCGAGUAAGCUUUGCGUUUAAUCAUAUUUUGAACUAAGCACAUAGACAAUAUAAGUAAUUAAAUAAUAAUAAUAAUAAUAAAUCAGGGGAUGAUCCUCAAGUGAAACUCCAUCAAUACAAACUAAGUCCAUCGUGCCUCCCCUCUUUAUCAGCUGCCAUCAAGAGAGCUCCAUCUUCUUCCAAAAAACUGAGCACAUUUUUCACAGGCACCUGCCCUACCUGAUCCGGUUCCAAAAUAACUAAACCUAGCAGGCGUGAUCUUGGUCUGACUAACGCCGGGCAAUACUCAAGGAUAUGAAAAUUACGUGUUCUCUUCUUCUCCAUAUAACCUGCAAUCGGCAUAGACAAUAUAAAAACAUCACAUGUCUUAGUUUCAAUUAUAUAUCUAGACUUUAAUUGUAUACAACUCGAUAAUUUUUAUAUGUGAGAGAUAAAAUCACCUGACGACA
This 5432-nucleotide unclassified non-coding RNA is filed under the name Monomorium pharaonis (pharaoh ant). RNAcentral's name for it is "prolactin-releasing peptide receptor, transcript variant X1". The record is from RNAcentral. Lineage: Eukaryota; Metazoa; Arthropoda; Insecta; Hymenoptera; Formicidae.